Molecule: long non-coding RNA, 687 nt
Organism: Olea europaea var. sylvestris
Lineage: Eukaryota; Viridiplantae; Streptophyta; Magnoliopsida; Lamiales; Oleaceae
Exons: 2
Source: RefSeq, a predicted model, not a curated record
AUUUUCCUUCAUAUUGCAGAACCCAUAGACUCCUCUGCGGCGCUACUCAUUCUGACUUCUCCAACUACGACAGAGAGGACGUCUACUGCAACGGAAUGCACGUUGUUGAAAUAUUCGACCUUUCAUUUAUGUGACAUUCCUUCGAUUUUCGUUGAUUCGUAGACGUCACAACAGAUCUUCUCCAACUAGAUCUGCAAAAAUUCAGCUUACAAUGAGAGGAAAGAAUCAUGGAGUCUGUCACAGCUGUAAACUAAAAGUGCAUUCUUUUGCGGAAUGCUUGAAUAAACGCCCCUGCCCAUGGUGUAAACAUGCUUUUCUGAAGUGCAUUGAGGUGGAGAAGAACACUAAGAACAAAGGUAGACCAUUCAAUACGUGCAGCGUGAAAUGUGAUUUUUUGGAGUAGGUUAGUGAGGAGGAAACGAGUGGUGAAUCAACAUCUGUUACUAGUACUCAAGUUUUGUCUUGCAUGUUCGAAGCUCGAUGUCGGUAAACUGAUGAACAAGACACGGAGAUUUCCAUGAAUGUAACUGUACGCAAAGAAAGAGCACGUAACUAAAGGAGAUAAGAUUGGAAAUGGGCCAGCUUGAGUUGUAGUUUCCUUUAAAUGAAGUUGUAAUUUCAGUUGUGUAAAUAUAUGUUUCCUUGAAAUGAAUGUUAUCUUUAAUGCUAGUGAACUUUUGAAUCUAA